Molecule: non-coding RNA, 504 nt
Organism: Cinara cedri
Lineage: Eukaryota; Metazoa; Arthropoda; Insecta; Hemiptera; Aphididae
Source: the annotation of a GenBank genome assembly
UUUAAAAUCCAUUAAUUCAAUUUUUUAUAGAAUGUUGACAUUUUUAUUUUACAUAGUUAUAGGUACCUAAAAUAAAUUGGAAUUUGUCAUUGACGAAAUGGCUAAAAAGGUUAAUAAAACUAUUCUCAGGCUACCUCCUUACCACUGCAAGUUGAACCCCAUUGAAAUGGUUUGGUCAAUGGUAAAAGGCUAUGUUAAAGCUAACAAUACAACUUUCAAACCAGAGGAGGUGUUUCAAAUACCUGUUGCAUAAAGGUUUGGACAGAGUCCAAAGUGAAGAUUGGAAAUCGCUUAUUGAUCAUGUCAAGAAGGAGGAAGAGAAGUUUUGGAAUUUAGAUUUUAUUUUUGAUGAGCUCGUUGACAACCUUGUAGCUAAUCCCGAUCAUAUACUGACAAUUGAGAACUCUGAAUCCUCUGAAUUAUUAUGAUGACAAUUUUUAAUUAAUUUGUACAUAUACGCCAAGUAGGACUUAUAUAUUGUUAUAUUAAUUAAACCUACAUGUG